RNAcentral lists this non-coding RNA (32 nucleotides) under Homo sapiens (human). The record is from RNAcentral. Lineage: Eukaryota; Metazoa; Chordata; Mammalia; Primates; Hominidae.
UGGCAGUCUUGUCUUCAGUCGUCAUGGAAAUC